GGCCGGUUAGCUCAGUCGGCUGAGCGUCGUGCUAAGAACGCGAAUGUCACGGGUUCGAUCCCCAUAUCGGCCA
Liolophura sinensis is the source of this 73-nucleotide non-coding RNA. NCBI's taxonomy places the organism in Eukaryota, Metazoa, Mollusca, Polyplacophora, Chitonida, Chitonidae. The record is from the annotation of a RefSeq genome assembly.